GGGUCGUUAGCUCAGUUGGUCAGAGCGCCACGCUUACACCGUGGAUGUCGGGGGUUCGAGCCCCUCACGACCCA
RNAcentral lists this transfer RNA (74 nucleotides) under Candidatus Brachybacterium merdigallinarum. Its description in RNAcentral is "tRNA-Val". It matches the Rfam family "tRNA". From Rfam's summary of the family: Transfer RNA (tRNA) molecules are approximately 80 nucleotides in length. Their secondary structure includes four short double-helical elements and three loops (D, anti-codon, and T loops). The record is from RNAcentral. Lineage: Bacteria; Bacillati; Actinomycetota; Actinomycetes; Micrococcales; Dermabacteraceae.